Molecule: ribosomal RNA, 430 nt
Filed under: Acidobacteriota bacterium
Lineage: Bacteria; Pseudomonadati; Acidobacteriota
Description: Acidobacteria bacterium partial 16S ribosomal RNA
Rfam family: Bacterial small subunit ribosomal RNA
Source: RNAcentral
UGGGGAAUAUUGGACAAUGGGCGCAAGCCUCAUCCAGCCAUGCCGCGUGUGUGAAGAAGGCCUUUUGGUUGUAAAGCACUUUAAGCGAGGAGGAGGCUACUUGGAUUAAUACUCUAGGAUAGUGGACGUUACUCGCAGAAUAAGCACCGGCUAACUCUGUGCCAGCAGCCGCGGUAAUACAGAGGGUGCGAGCGUUAAUCGGAUUUACUGGGCGUAAAGCGUGCGUAGGCGGCUUCUUAAGUCGGAUGUGAAAUCCCUGAGCUUAACUUAGGAAUUGCAUUCGAUACUGGGAAGCUAGAGUAUGGGAGAGGAUGGUAGAAUUCCAGGUGUAGCGGUGAAAUGCGUAGAGAUCUGGAGGAAUACCGAUGGCGAAGGCAGCCAUCUGGCCUAAUACUGACGCUGAGGUACGAAAGCAUGGGGAGCAAACAGG